This 504-nucleotide ribosomal RNA is filed under the name uncultured bacterium. Its description in RNAcentral is "partial 16S ribosomal RNA". It matches the Rfam family "Bacterial small subunit ribosomal RNA", at positions 30 to 523 of the family's 1533-position model. The record is from RNAcentral.
AUUGAACGCUGGCGGCAUGCCUUACACAUGCAAGUCGAACGGCAGCAUGGAGAGCUUGCUCUCUGAUGGCGAGUGGCGAACGGGUGAGUAAUGCAUCGGAACGUACCGUGUAAUGGGGGAUAACGUAGCGAAAGUUACGCUAAUACCGCAUACGACCUGAGGGUGAAAGCAGGGGAUCGCAAGACCUUGCGUUAUACGAGCGGCCGAUGUCAGAUUAGCUAGUUGGUGAGGUAAAGGCUCACCAAGGCGACGAUCUGUAGCGGGUCUGUGAGGAUGAUCCGCCACACUGGGACUGAGACACGGCCCAGACUCCUACGGGAGGCAGCAGUGGGGAAUUUUGGACAAUGGGGGCAACCCUGAUCCAGCCAUGCCGCGUGAGUGAAGAAGGCCUUCGGGUUGUAAAGCUCUUUCGGCCGGGAAGAAAUCGCACAGGCUAAUACCCUGUGUGGAUGACGGUACCGGCAUAAGAAGCACCGGCUAACUACGUGCCAGCAGCCGCAGUAA